GCCAGCGUGGUGUAGUGGUUUGAAUGUUGGACUAUGACUCUGGAGACCAGAGUUCAAAUCAUGGCUCGGCCA
Phrynosoma platyrhinos (Desert horned lizard) is the source of this 72-nucleotide non-coding RNA. Lineage: Eukaryota; Metazoa; Chordata; Lepidosauria; Squamata; Phrynosomatidae. The record is from the annotation of a GenBank genome assembly.